AGAAGAUGGUAAGGGCACACGGUGGAUGCCUAGGCACGGAAAGCCGAUGAAGGACGUGACAAGCUGCGAUAAGCUGCGGUGAGAGGCACAUGCUCGCUGACCCGCAGAUAUCCGAAUGGGCAAACCCGCCAGAACUCAUUUUCUGGCACGCCUUAGAAGAACACAUAUUCUUAGGCGAGGCAACCCGGAGAACUGAAACAUCUCAGUAGCCGGAGGAAGAGAAAUCAACCGAGAUUCCCCAAGUAGUGGCGAGCGAACGGGGAUGAGGCCAAACCGUCUGUAGGGAAACCGCAGACGGGGUUGUAGGGCAGGCAAUAAAGUGCAGCGCUUGCGGAAGCAGAACAGCAUGAAAAGGCUGACUGAAAAGGGUUAGAGUCCCGUACGCGAAUCCAACACAGAGCGCAUGAGCCUGCUCCUGAGUACUGCCGGACACGUGAAACCCGGUGGGAAGCAGGGGGGACCACCCUCCAAGCCUAAAUACUCUUCCGUGACCGAUAGUGGACAAGUACCGUGAGGGAAAGGUGAAAAGCACCCCGGGAGGGGAGUGAAAUAGUACCUGAAACCGUGUGCUUACAAGCAGUCGGAGCGCUUACCUUGCGUAAGUGUGACGGCGUGCCUUUUGUAGAAUGAGCCAGCGAGUUACGGUGUGUGGCAAGGUCAAAGUCAAGAACUGAGCCGAAGCGAAAGCGAGUCUGAAUAGGGCGAUUGAGUCGCAUGCUGUAGACGCGAAGCCAGGUGAGCUAUCCUGGGGCAGGCUGAAGCGGGGGUAAGACCCCGUGGAGGGCCGAACCCACUUAGAUUGAAAACUGAGGGGAUGACCUCAGGAUAGGAGUGAAAGGCUAAACAAACCUGGAGAUAUCUCGUUCUCCCCGAAAUAGCUUUAGGGCUAGCCUCAGGCGUUCAACACUGGAGGUAGAGCACUGAAUGGUAGAGGGGGCCUCACCGCCUGCCGACACCAAUCAAACUCCGAAUGCCAGCGUUUCAGAGCCUGGGAGUCAGAAUAUGUGGGCUAAGCCGUGUAUUCGAAAGGGAAACAGCCCAGACCAUCCGCUAAGGUCCCUAAAUUCAUGCUAAGUGGCAAAGGAUGUGCGUUUGCUCAGACAACCAGGAUGUUGGCUCAGAAGCAGCCAUUCAUUUAAAGAGUGCGUAAUAGCUCACUGGUCGAGUGGACAUGCGCCGACAAUAUACGGGGCUAAGCAUGGUACCGAAGCGACGGAUUGUAUCUUUAUAGAUACUUUGGUAGGGGAGCUUUCUUGUAUGGGGUGAAGCGCAAGGAUAACCUUGCGUGGACUUGCAAGAAGUGAGAAUGCUGGCAUGAGUAACGAGAAAGGCGUGAGAAACGCCUGCGCCGUAAACCUAAGGUUUCCUGGGCAAGGCUAAUCCUCCCAGGGUCAGUCGGGAGCUAAGGCAAGGCCGGAAGGCGUAGUCGAUGCACAGCAGGUAGAUAUUCCUGCACCUCCAACGUAUCGUUUUUACCAAUGGGGUGACAAAGCAGGGUAGCUCAAGCGGGGUUCUGGACGUCCCCGUGGAGCCACGUAGGUAGGCGGGUCAGUGAAAUGCGGCCUGCCGCUAUAAACUGAGGUGGCGCCCGAAACGAUUGAGCGAAGUGAGCAAGCCCAUACUUUCGAGAAAAACCUCUCGGGAGAUACUCGGAGCCCGUACCAAAACCGACACAGGUGGGUGGGUAGAAUAUACCAAGGCGAUCGGGAGAACCAUGGUUAAGGAACUCGGCAAAAUAACCCCGUAACUUCGGAAGAAGGGGUGCCACAGCGUGUGAGUGCACGUGCUGCACAAGCUGGAUGUGGCCGCAGUGAAAAGGUCCAAACGACUGUUUAUCAAAAACACAGGACUCUGCUGAAGUCGUAAGACGACGUAUAGGGUCUGACGCCUGCCCGGUGCCGGAAGGUCACGAGGAGCUGUCAGCGCAAGCAAAGCAGCGAAUCUAAGCCCCGGUAAACGGCGGCCGUAACUAUAACGGUCCUAAGGUAGCGAAAUUCCUUGUCGGGUAAGUUCCGACCUGCACGAAAGGCGUAACGAUUUGGACGCUGUCUCAACCA
Molecule: ribosomal RNA, 2057 nt
Filed under: Lactobacillus sp.
Lineage: Bacteria; Bacillati; Bacillota; Bacilli; Lactobacillales; Lactobacillaceae
Description: partial 23S ribosomal RNA
Rfam family: Bacterial large subunit ribosomal RNA
Source: RNAcentral